UUGUUGUACUUGUAUACAGAUUAAAUUUAAAUCUUUGCUGCAAGUUAUGCUGACAGAAUCAUGAACUGCGUCCUCCGCAACAAUGAUCAAUGAUGACAUCAUUAGUUCAUGGCUUGUGCCACCAUCUGAAGAAGAUGGGUGCUUUGGUGUUGAUGCAUUUGCGGGUGUCCCGCAAACGAUGAACCCAAAUGCUGCGCAGUCAGUAAAUCCCGGGGUAAAUGGUAUACCACAUGCAGCAGGUGUCGACCCAGAACCAGGUGUUGGUGAAGGAGUUAUUGCUUCGGGAGGAGGUAACAUGACCGCAGCUGAUGCUGCGGCUCGUGGGGCUGGGAACCCUGUAGGGAUGAACAUAACAUAUGAUGCUGUGGAAGAAUGUGAGUACCAAGCUGAUUUGUAGAUGCCGGUGGUCCUUCACGGGGAUCUCGUGGCGAAGGUGGCACUGGCUCAUCGGUUCGAGAAGUUUUAGGCAGCUCUAGCCUUGGAGUGCCAUCAUUUACUGUGACAGGAUUUGCAUUUGGAGUUGGGAUGUCAGUACGUGUGAAGGCUGAAAUUGGUGAUAACUUCCCUGGCACUUAUGGACCAAGUCAUGAGGAACCACUCGCAAGCCUGGUGCUGAAUUUCGUUGGACACAUGAUGAAUUGCAGUCCAAGGGAACUAGACAGGAAAUGGUUUAAGCACACAAGACCUACGCGUUGAUCUGAAUGGGUGGGACUUCAAGAUAGGGUUUGGACCUGCUGGCAGAAUAACUUUUAUCGGCUGGUCCACGGUGCACAGGAUGGUGAAGUAGCUUGAGUUCAAGAUAUAUGGAUAUUCUCCGAUAUGCUGGCGGCACAUCUUCGACCCUAGAUUUGCGUUGAUGAUGCUGCCGGAAUUCAUGGAGAGCUGGGCAUUGUAUAUUUUUGAUCCUGAGAAUAAGCAUAUGUUGGUUAUGGAUCCAGCCACAACCUUUGAUGGCGCAGACGUGAUGUGUGCUAAGCACGAGACAAAUGCUAAGAAAGUGUUGUAUGGCCUAGCCCGUUGAAUCAACGAGAACAUAUGGGAGGUCAGUGCAGCUAAUUCGCACAUCAGCUACCCUGUAGGCGCACACUUCAACUGUAUCAGUUGAGCUCCACAAAAACCCGUAUAAAGUGUUUAUGUGAAGGCAGAGCUGAGACUGCAGAAAAAAUUACAUUACAUAACCUUCUGUUUUACAGUGAGCAUAGUGGUAUGUACGAGCAUAGUGGUAUGUACAUCCGGGAGUACAAUGCUGUGCGGGGCGACAAGAGGUUGGGCAGUUUUCGGGAUGGGAAUAUUGCUGGUGCUGCGCCAGAGUAGCAUUUGCAGUCUCCGUCCUUUUGCUGAUGUAGUGAACUAAGUUACUAGAUAAUUAUGUACACCUGACUGAUUGGUUGUGUAUUAAGUCUGUUCAUGUGCAACAUGUGUUGAUGAAGAAGUGUUGUGUCUGUUUUACUUAGAGAGUUGAUUAUAUUGUUCUGAGGUACAAUUUGAUGUUGAGAGAAAACAAUGGUUUCCUCU
This is a long non-coding RNA of Lolium rigidum, 1515 nucleotides long. RefSeq lists it as uncharacterized. NCBI's taxonomy places the organism in Eukaryota, Viridiplantae, Streptophyta, Magnoliopsida, Poales, Poaceae. The record is from RefSeq and is a predicted model, not a curated record. The transcript has 5 exons.